GGGGGAUAUUGCACAAUGGAGGAAACUCUGAUGCAGCAACGCCGCGUGAGGGAAGAAGGUCUUCGGAUUGUAAACCUCUGUCGCAGAUGACGAAGGAAGUGACGGUAAUCUGUGAGGAAGCCCCGGCUAACUACGUGCCAGCAGCCGCGGUAAUACGUAGGGGGCGAGCGUUGUCCGGAAUUACUGGGCGUAAAGGGAGCGUAGGCGGUCGAUUAAGUUGGAUGUGAAAUACCCGGGCUUAACUUGGGGGGUGCAUCCAAUACUGGUUGACUAGAGUACAGGAGAGGAAAGCGGAAUUCCUAGUGUAGCGGUGAAAUGCAUAGAUAUUAGGAGGAACAUCGGUGGCGAAGGCGGCUUUCUGGACUGACACUGACGCUGAGGCUCGAAAGCGUGGGGAGCAAACA
This 404-nucleotide ribosomal RNA is filed under the name uncultured Eubacteriales bacterium. RNAcentral describes it as "bacterial SSU rRNA". It matches the Rfam family "Bacterial small subunit ribosomal RNA", at positions 356 to 774 of the family's 1533-position model. The record is from RNAcentral. Lineage: Bacteria; Bacillati; Bacillota; Clostridia; Eubacteriales.